RNAcentral lists this small RNA (572 nucleotides) under Pongo abelii (Sumatran orangutan). RNAcentral describes it as "processed transcript". The record is from RNAcentral. Lineage: Eukaryota; Metazoa; Chordata; Mammalia; Primates; Hominidae.
AAAGGUGCUUUGUAGAUUUUUAUUCAUUCGAACAUUUACCUUGGAAUUCUGAAUCCUCAUAAAUAAUACAUUCAGAGAAGUGGAGAAAGGCAAUGCGUUUUGAGUCAACACAAACUGACAGCAAGAUAAUGUAUUCUUUUGUCAUAAAAUAUUGAGAAAAUGGGAAGACAAUAACUGGUAUUAAUUACUGACAGGGUUUAAAUAUGCCAGUUAAGUAGGAAAUAAGGAGAUAUCUUGGUGAAUAUUGAAGAUGGGGGACUCAAGGAGAUUUCACCACCACCCAUCCUCGGCCUGUGGUCAAAGUGAAACUCUUCACAGAAAGCACUGGAGUUCUGGCCCUGGAAGAUAAAGAACUGGGAAGGGUGAUAUUAUACCCAACUUCUAAUAGCCCCAAAUCAGCUGAAUUACACCGAAUGGUAGUUCCAAAAAAUAGCCAGGAUUCUGACUUAAAAAUCAAACUGGCAGUGCGAAUGGAUAAACCAGCACAUAUGAAGCAUAGUGGAUAUCUGUAUGCCCUUGGACAGAAGGUUUGGAAAAGAUGGAAAAAACGUUACUUUGUUCUAGUUCAGGUU